This 549-nucleotide ribosomal RNA is filed under the name Tricholomella constricta. Its description in RNAcentral is "partial 12S ribosomal RNA". It matches the Rfam family "Bacterial small subunit ribosomal RNA", at positions 393 to 919 of the family's 1533-position model. Lineage: Eukaryota; Fungi; Basidiomycota; Agaricomycetes; Agaricales; Lyophyllaceae. The record is from RNAcentral.
GAAAUCACAUGAGUCAUGCUUAAUGUUGGUGAUUGUGAUAACGUAAGGGAAAAAAAUGAUAUUACCUUACUAUUAGUGUUGUCCAAAACUGGUGCCAGAAGACUCGGUAAGGCCAGAGACGCAAACGUUAGUCGUCCUAAUCAGGCGUAAAGGGUGUGUAGGCUGCUUUGAAAGUUAUAUUUUUCAUAAAGCUCUUUUAACGUAGUAUAUUAAUAAAAAAAAAUAUUAAUAUCCGUUCUAAGGUAAAAAUAGAAUUAAUUAAAGCUAGGAUCAAAUUGAGGAUAAGCCAAAUAAUACUUAGAGUAGGGAUUAAAUCCGCAGAUACUAAGGGGAAUACUAAAGGUGAAAGCUUUUUAUCUAUUAUUGAUUGACGCUGAGAAACGAAGGUGAGAAUAGGAAAUAGGAUUAGAUACCCAGAUACCUCUCACUGUCAACGAUGAAUGGUGGUUGUUAGUUUUUUUAAUUAAAACUGGUAACGAUGUUAACACGAUAACCAUUCCGCCUUGCGAGUACGGUUGCAAAACUGAAACCAAAAAAAUUAGUCGGUCU